This 302-nucleotide ribosomal RNA is filed under the name uncultured bacterium. RNAcentral's name for it is "partial 16S ribosomal RNA". It matches the Rfam family "Bacterial small subunit ribosomal RNA", at positions 508 to 807 of the family's 1533-position model. The record is from RNAcentral.
GCAGUAGCCGCGGUAAUACGAAGGGUGCAAGCGUUACUCGGAAUUACUGGGCGUAAAGCGUGCGUAGGUGGUGGUUUAAGUCCGUUGUGAAAGCCCUGGGCUCAACCUGGGAAUUGCAGUGGAUACUGGGUCACUAGAGUGUGGUAGAGGAUAGUGGAAUUUCCGGUGUAGCAGUGAAAUGCGUAGAGAUCGGAAGGAACAUCUGUGGCGAAGGCGACUAUCUGGGCCAACACUGACACUGAGGCACGAAAGCGUGGGGAGCAAACAGGAUUAGAUACCCCGGUAGUCCCUGUCUCUUAUAC